This 248-nucleotide ribosomal RNA is filed under the name uncultured bacterium. RNAcentral's name for it is "partial 16S ribosomal RNA". It matches the Rfam family "Bacterial small subunit ribosomal RNA", at positions 85 to 334 of the family's 1533-position model. The record is from RNAcentral.
AAGAUGGCGACCGGCGCACGGGUGAGUAACACGUAUCCAACCUGCCGAUAACUCGGGGAUAGCCUUUCGAAAGAAAGAUUAAUAUCCGAUGGUAUAUUAAGAUCGCAUGAUUUUACUAUUAAAGAAUUUCGGUUAUCGAUGGGGAUGCGUUCCAUUAGUUUGUUGGCGGGGUAACGGCCCACCUAGUCUCCGAUGGAUAGGGGUUCUGAGAGGAAGGUCCCCCACAUUGGAACUGAGACACGGUCCAA